GGAUGUGAAGGUGAUCUGGUUGUGAUGUCUGUCAUCCCAGUGAUUGCUAGGGUGGAUUUGGCUGAUCUGCCCCUUCCUCCCUCACCACUCCACAUGUGUCCCCCCCCUCCCAUAGCCGAGUGCUGUCACAGAGGAUGACCAUCCCCAAUGGAGGAGAACCAUUCUUUGGGCUAGGGUACAGAGUAGCUGCGCUGCCCUGAGAGAACCUCCAAACAAAUUCUCAAGGUCUAAAAUGCACAUUUGACCCCUUCCUUCCAAGCAUACAGAUCCUUGUGGUAGCUCCCCUGCACCAACAG
Molecule: unclassified non-coding RNA, 296 nt
Organism: Dipodomys ordii (Ord's kangaroo rat)
Lineage: Eukaryota; Metazoa; Chordata; Mammalia; Rodentia; Heteromyidae
Gene: 7SK
Rfam family: 7SK RNA
About the family: 7SK was discovered as an abundant small nuclear RNA in the mid-70s but a possible function has only recently been suggested. Two independent studies have found that 7SK RNA binds the CDK9/cyclin T complex (known as elongation factor P-TEFb).
Source: Ensembl